Molecule: non-coding RNA, 260 nt
Organism: Biomphalaria pfeifferi
Lineage: Eukaryota; Metazoa; Mollusca; Gastropoda; Planorbidae
Source: the annotation of a GenBank genome assembly
UAUAUAUAUAUAUAUAUAUAUAUAUAUUUCAAUGAUAAAUUAUAACAUUUAAGCUUAUAACUAAGAUUCACUGAGCAAGCGAUAAGAGGAUGUAAAGGGCGAGGAACUCUUGUUCAAUUUCUACUCUUUUGGCUAAAGGAAAUUUUAAAAUGUUCUUAUCGUAUAAAAUGACUGACGUUCAGUCGAAAGCGAAGAUAAUUACGUCCUUCGCGGAUCCAUGUGCUAAUCAAGAGGUGCUUGUUAAAUAGAGACUUUAUUGG